AAGACCUUGCACUUUUGGAGCGGCCGAUGUCUGAUUAGCUAGUUGGUGGGGUAAUGGCCUACCAAGGCUUCGAUCAGUAGCUGGUCUGAGAGGACGGCCAGCCACACUGGGACUGAGACACGGCCCAGACUCCUACGGGAGGCAGCAGCGGGGAAUUUUGGACAAUGGGCGCAAGCCUGAUCCAGCCAUGCCGCGUGAGUGAAGAAGGCCUUCGGGUUGUAAAGCUCUUUCAGCCGGGAAGAAAAGGUUGCGACUAAUAAUCGCAAUCCAUGACGGUACCGAAAGAAGAAGCACCGGCUAACUACGUGCCAGCAGCCGCGGUAAUACGUAGGGUGCGAGCGUUAAUCGGAAUUACUGGGCGUAAAGGGUGCGCAGGCGGUUUUGUAAGUCAGAUGUGAAAUCCCCGGGCUUAACCUGGGAACU
This 423-nucleotide ribosomal RNA is filed under the name uncultured bacterium. RNAcentral's name for it is "bacterial SSU rRNA". It matches the Rfam family "Bacterial small subunit ribosomal RNA", at positions 207 to 622 of the family's 1533-position model. The record is from RNAcentral.